UUAUUGGAGAGUUUGAUCCUGGCUCAGGACGAACGCUGGCGGCGUGCCUAAUACAUGCAAGUCGAGCGAAUCUGAGGGAGCUUGCUCCCAAAGAUUAGCGGCGGACGGGUGAGUAACACGUGGGCAACCUGCCUGUAAGACUGGGAUAACUUCGGGAAACCGGAGCUAAUACCGGAUAAUCCUUUUCUACUCAUGUAGAAAAGCUGAAAGAUGGCUUCGGCUAUCACUUACAGAUGGGCCCGCGGCGCAUUAGCUAGUUGGUGAGGUAACGGCUCACCAAGGCGACGAUGCGUAGCCGACCUGAGAGGGUGAUCGGCCACACUGGGACUGAGACACGGCCCAGACUCCUACGGGAGGCAGCAGUAGGGAAUCUUCCGCAAUGGACGAAAGUCUGACGGAGCAACGCCGCGUGAGUGAUGAAGGUUUUCGGAUCGUAAAACUCUGUUGUUAGGGAAGAACAAGUACCGUUCGAAUAGGGCGGUACCUUGACGGUACCUAACCAGAAAGCCACGGCUAACUACGUGCCAGCAGCCGCGGUAAUACGUAGGUGGCAAGCGUUGUCCGGAAUUAUUGGGCGUAAAGCGCGCGCAGGUGGUUUCUUAAGUCUGAUGUGAAAGCCCCCGGCUCAACCGGGGAGGGUCAUUGGAAACUGGGAGACUUGAGUGCAGAAGAGGAAAGUGGAAUUCCAAGUGUAGCGGUGAAAUGCGUAGAGAUUUGGAGGAACACCAGUGGCGAAGGCGACUUUCUGGUCUGUAACUGACACUGAGGCGCGAAAGCGUGGGGAGCGAACAGGAUUAGAUACCCUGGUAGUCCACGCCGUAAACGAUGAGUGCUAAGUGUUAGAGGGUUUCCGCCCUUUAGUGCUGCAGCAAACGCAUUAAGCACUCCGCCUGGGGAGUACGGCCGCAAGGCUGAAACUCAAAGGAAUUGACGGGGGCCCGCACAAGCGGUGGAGCAUGUGGUUUAAUUCGAAGCAACGCGAAGAACCUUACCAGGUCUUGACAUCCUCUGACAAUCCUAGAGAUAGGACGUUCCCCUUCGGGGGACAGAGUGACAGGUGGUGCAUGGUUGUCGUCAGCUCGUGUCGUGAGAUGUUGGGUUAAGUCCCGCAACGAGCGCAACCCUUGAUCUUAGUUGCCAGCAUUCAGUUGGGCACUCUAAGGUGACUGCCGGUGACAAACCGGAGGAAGGUGGGGAUGACGUCAAAUCAUCAUGCCCCUUAUGACCUGGGCUACACACGUGCUACAAUGGAUGGUACAAAGGGCUGCAAGACCGCGAGGUUUAGCCAAUCCCAUAAAACCAUUCUCAGUUCGGAUUGCAGGCUGCAACUCGCCUGCAUGAAGCCGGAAUCGCUAGUAAUCGCGGAUCAGCAUGCCGCGGUGAAUACGUUCCCGGGCCUUGUACACACCGCCCGUCACACCACGAGAGUUUGUAACACCCGAAGUCGGUGGGGUAACCG
RNAcentral lists this ribosomal RNA (1459 nucleotides) under Cytobacillus praedii. RNAcentral describes it as "bacterial SSU rRNA". It matches the Rfam family "Bacterial small subunit ribosomal RNA". The record is from RNAcentral. Lineage: Bacteria; Bacillati; Bacillota; Bacilli; Caryophanales; Bacillaceae.